Molecule: long non-coding RNA, 4445 nt
Organism: Ipomoea triloba (trilobed morning glory)
Lineage: Eukaryota; Viridiplantae; Streptophyta; Magnoliopsida; Solanales; Convolvulaceae
Exons: 2
Source: RefSeq, a predicted model, not a curated record
UUCUAUUUCGUUCGUAUCCUCUCUCUCUCCUCACGAAACCCUCUAUCGGCUCACGAUACACUCUCUCGAUCUCAUCCUCUUCUGAUAGUGUUGUACGCAGCUUUGUGUGUUCUUCCUAGAUUUUUUACUAAAAAUAUGUUCAGAAGUGAGGAAAGAGGGGAAAAGUACAUGUAUGACUCCCAAUUUCUUAUGAAAUCUGAAACCCAUCGGUUUGAUUUAGGGUAUUCAUCCGAAAAUUGUAAAAAUCUUCGGAUCUGAAGGUCUUUGUUACAGACUUGUACCUUAAGUUCAACGUAUGGAAUCUUAAAGACGACCGUAGACUCAACUACAGCGAAGGGCGGUUAUAUCCGACUGCAUAUAAGGUAAACUACUACUGAUCUUGUUCAAAAUUCCUACAUAUUUCUAUUUCCUACACACAAUCUAUACUAUUUGCGUAGUUUGUUAGGUCAUGAUUUGAGAAUUUUUUUUCAUAAACCCUAAUUUAUUAAAAUCACUAUGCUGUACAAUAAAUUCGAUUUUGAUAUAUAGACAUAGAAGGUUUAGGUUGUAUUAUCGUAGUUAGUUUGUUAAAAAUUGCAAAGCAUGCCAUAAAUAUUAUUGUUUAGACUUAUAGGAUGUUAAAUCACAGACAAUAUUUCUUACUACUAAUAGUUACAAAGUUUUGUGAUGUAGACAGGUACAUUACAAGGAUUUCACCGUUAGAUGAUGCUAAAAAAUGUGGUAUUAUUAUAAUACAAUCUAAUUACAUGCAAAAUAGUGAGGUAACCUACAGUUUACAUAAAAUUAGAAAUGAAUUAGUUUACCUGUACUCUCAGAUAUGUGCUUUCUUUUACUGCUUAUAGUUGUUGAAGUAAAUAUUUGCCUCAUAUCGUUGUAUGACUCAAAACAGUUUGGUUAGAUUGUGUUUGCAUGUACAGAGAAGUAAUACUAAAUGGGUGAUUUACACUUCUAUUUAGGCAAUAAUGAUGAGGCCAAAAAGUAAUGCUAUUAAUAUACUGACAAAAUGACUAUUCAUUUCUCAUUGAAUUUAAGACAAUGUGGUAAUUAUUUGUUCUUAAUUUAUUAUGCUUCCCAAGGUGUUGCUACUGUGAUAAGUUAUGCUUAAACUAUAACUGGGAAUAAACUAACAAAUGUCCUUCAAGUUGAUGGCAAAUGAUGAUUAAUCAGUAUCUGAUGCCAUUUGCAGAUACAGAACAUAUAAGUAUGGCCGUAAAUCGGCUCAUAUUGUCAUGUUGAGCUGAUGUAGUUAUAGUUACCAUUUCUGUAUGUCUAUAAGUGUGUAUUCUUCAAACUUAGAAUUGUACUUAGUUAUUUGUAUUAACAGAAUGGGAUUAGUUGACAUUUUUCGUUGUACAGCUUUUUGCAGAUGAUAACAAUAAUGUAUUGGUAUGGAAAACUUAUUAAAAUAGAUUGUAAUAGUUGUUAGAAUAAAUACAGUUGUAUAUUACAGUUAGUAUAUUGUUUCUUAUGUAUUGUUGAAUUUAAGAUGAGAUAAUUUCCUAUCUCAUCAAUAUUAGUUAAAUAUUUAUUUUAGCAAUUUCUAAAAGACAGUACUGGAUUAGUUUACACAAUGUGUGCAAGGUUUUACAAAAUGAUGUUGUAUUAUAUUGAAGAGCAGUAUUUUUUAUAACCAUCUUUAGUCUAAAAAAUUGUGUACUUUUGAUCCAACGCAGUAUUUUUGAUAGCCAUAUCAAGAUCAAGAUUUUUCGUAGGCAUAUGUAAGGAAAAUUGACAUUUGUGUUUACUUUAUAUAAAAAGAAGCAUAAAAAUGAUUAAAAUGGUAUGAUUAGUUUCAUCGUAUAAAGUACUUAGGCAUACUUGUAACCAAAUUUUUAGCUAAAGUAAUAACAAAUACUUCGAUUGCAAUGUAUUUUUAAUCCAAAAUACAGGUCUGCUUUUAUAACAUGUUGUGUAUAAAGUAUAAUAGUUGUAGUAUACAAAAUUUUUUUUCCUUAAACCCAAAAAUAUGUACGUAUUAUGUACAUUGAUUACCUAUCUCUGUUUCACAUAGUUAUGAAUAAAUUGGCACUUUCGUAUUUAAGUUGUAGCAUAUAAUUAUGUUUUCGUGCUACUCACGUAAUGAUUAUAUAUGAACUAAACUAUUCAACAUCUGAUGCAUGUUUAUUUUUUAAGUAAUGUGUAUCUGGAAUAAUUGAUCUGACUACUUAAACUCAUAACGCUAUAUGAAUUUCUUUCUAGAAAAACAGUUGUAAUCACUUGUGAUAGGUACUCAUAAACUUAUAUUUGUAUUGACUUGUGAAAGGUACUGCUACAUAAUUUGUUUUGACUUUAAGACUAUAUGACCUACUUGGUGGAGUUAUGUUUGAAUUACAUUUUUAGAACAUGACAUUAUUAUGUAUUUGGUGGAGUUAUGCUUGAAAUAUUUGAGUUAAAUACUUGAAUAGAGAUAGUAAUGUAAAGUUGAAUAACUAAUAUUUUAUUAAACUAUGUAAUUAUCAACAACUAAAUGUAAUUACAAAAAAUGUUAACACCCAAAAUCCUUACUUACACAUUGUAAGCAAGGAAUUUUGAUACUACAAACUAUGUACAGAACUGGGGCGUAACUUCAAUCACUUUUUGACUCCUUCAAAAAACUUCAAAUGAACCUGCAACAAUUUCCUUGCCUAUUGUCACUAUUUUUGCCCCUGCAAAAUAGUAUCCAAGCAGUACAUAUAGUUGUUAAUGAAAAUAGGAUCAGAUAGACUGUUUCAUACAGUCCAGAACAAUUUCCUUGCCUAAGGAAUAUGUUUUUCCCCCUGCAAAACAGUAUCUAAGCAGUACAUCUAAUUGUUAAUGAAAAACAGAUUAGAUAAUAUGUUUCAUACAAUCCAGAAAUUAAAAAGCGUUACCAAAAUAAGUUUAGGGUUGAAGUACUGCAAUUGUCUAGUACAGUGCUCCACAAAAACAUUGGAACAAAUUCAAAAAAAAAUGUUUUCAAGAAAGAAACAUGUGUCCAGAAUCAUUUCCAAGUAUUCAUUUCAUAUCUUCUCCUGCUUGACAGUCACUUCUUUCAUCUUUUUAGUAGUCUUGGAAGUGGAAAAUUGGUCCAUAAGACACUUCUUGACAGACUCAUAAUCUUCCUUGUCAACCGCUUUUCUCUUCCCUGUAUCAAUGGAUAAUGGACUCUAGACCUCAUCAUCUUUAGAUGUUUCCUGAAACAAUAGUAAAAUUACUUAAUUUUGAUGUAGGUAAGAGGUAGGAAAACUAAGUAACUAUUAAGGGACCUUGGGGUACAAACCUCUUCAGAUUCUGAAUCUUCAUCUUGAUCAUCUUCUAUCAUUUUUGACAUCAAGUCUUUAUCUUGAUGGUCCCUUAAAGAGCUGCAGUAGGUGUCAACUAACAAUUGAUCCCUUAAUACUCUUAUGACAUUAUAAGCAGAAUUAGGUCCCCUCAUAGUGUCCUUUUUCAAACCAAUCUUAAAUAUCAUAGCCAUUCCAUUGAGAAUCUCCAAUUCUGGGGGAAUCCGAAUACAGACCUAAAUAAGGAACUGAUUACUACACAAUUAAGCAAAAAGACAAUUAUGCUUAUAUUAUAUAUAAAGUGGCUCUUACCUUAGAGUAUUUUUUAUACAGCAAUGAUGCCAGAACACCUUCCAGUUCAGCAACCUCCCUAUCCCACAAAAGGAAGGGAGCAUCCCCUGUCUUAUCUAGGACCCUAACCAAAACUUUGUACCUAACAGUUCCUUCUACAUAUUGUCUUUUACACUUUGAACAGUGUAAAAAGCCUUCUUCCUCUGUUACCUUCUUGUUGCAACAUGCCUUCAUGAAAAGUAUUACAUAUACGCAAUAGUUUGAUAGUUGGAGGGAAAAAAAUUAGGAAUUAAGUCCGAGUAACACCUCUACAGCAUAAAAAAAUCAGACAAUGUACUAACAAUUACUGCACCACUCUGGAAUUCACAUGGACCAGUUGACUGGGACAACACAGUGGUAGUACUAAUACUCCUCACUGGAGAAGUGUUAGCAGCUAACCUAUAGGGAACAGAGGAAGAACAGCAGAGACAUGCUCAUCCCAUACUGUGCACUUCAAGUUGAAUUUGAUGAGGAAGGGAUGCUGUGUUGUCUUGUACAGGUAAUAGUUCUUGACUACCAAAAAGUUUUUGAUGGAAUAAAGCUUGCCCUGUUUAAAAAUCUCUCUAUAUUUGGAUACAUCAUCUUUUGUGGUAUUUGCAUUUAUAAAUUGUCCCUAUUUAACAACAAAGAUGCAGUAUUAAUAUUCACAUACAUAGUUAAUAUUUGUAUAAAAAGAUAUGUAAAUUAGUUUUUUUACCUCAGCAUCAUGGAACAAAAGUUCCAAACUCUUACUGGUUUGAGCCCCCUUUACUUCUGGUACUUCAUACAUCCUGAUCAAUCGUACUCUGAUUGAUCUCUUCCUAUGAAAAAGACUAAUCUCUUUUACAGAAACAUAUUGUGAAGGCAUUUUCGAGUACAACAAAGAAAGUACUGAAA